Molecule: ribosomal RNA, 628 nt
Filed under: uncultured bacterium
Lineage: Bacteria
Description: bacterial SSU rRNA
Rfam family: Bacterial small subunit ribosomal RNA (bases 1-546)
Source: RNAcentral
CCUACGGGAGGCAGCAGUGGGGAAUUUUGGACAAUGGGCGCAAGCCUGAUCCAGCAAUGCCGCGUGAGUGAAGAAGGCCUUCGGGUUGUAAAGCUCUUUUGUCAGGGAAGAAACGGUGGGGGCUAAUAUCUCCUACUAAUGACGGUACCUGAAGAAUAAGCACCGGCUAACUACGUGCCAGCAGCCGCGGUAAUACGUAGGUGCAAGCGUUAAUCGGAAUUACUGGGCGUAAAGCGUGCGCAGGCGGUUUUGUAAGUCUGUCGUGAAAGCCCCGGGCUCAACCUGGGAAUUGCGAUGGAGACUGCAAGGCUUGAAUCUGGCAGAGGGGGGUAGAAUUCCACGUGUAGCAGUGAAAUGCGUAGAGAUGUGGAGGAACACCGAUGGCGAAGGCAGCCCCCUGGGUCAAGAUUGACGCUCAUGCACGAAAGCGUGGGGAGCAAACAGGAUUAGAUACCCUGGUAGUCCACGCCCUAAACGAUGUCUACUAGUUGUCGGGUUUUAAUUAACUUGGUUAACGCGAGCUACGUACGUGAGUAGACGACCGUCGGUAGGUACGGUACGCGAGAGUAAACGUAACGAACUAGAGUAGACGACGUGAGAGUGACGACGGACGACGACGAGGAGGAGG